Molecule: long non-coding RNA, 578 nt
Filed under: Anser brachyrhynchus (Pink-footed goose)
Lineage: Eukaryota; Metazoa; Chordata; Aves; Anseriformes; Anatidae
Description: lncRNA (ENSABRG00000015384.1)
Source: RNAcentral
CAAGCCUUGAUAUUACAGUACAAGUGCUUACAUUUACUUUUUAAGAUUAAAAAUUGGCAAAUAAUUGCCUUGAGAUGCAGAGCCCCAAAUGAAACAAGCUCUGUAGGACUGAUUUUACUAAAUGCGAGGUAAGCAAUGAUGUAAUUUUAAGGACGUUGAUGAGUGUAAUAAAGCAAUCUAAUCCUGAAGGGGUUGGGGGCUGCUUGUGUUUUUUUUUUUAAUUAUGUUUGUUUGUUUGUUUGUUUGUUUGUUUGUUUGUUUGUUUUCCAGAAAUCCCUAAGACAGAAGCUUUGCUGCUGUUCAGAAGCAUUUUCCCUGAGAACACAUCAGAUUGCCUAGCAUGGACAUGAAUAAUUGAAGAACACCAUCACGGCAGCAGUCCUCCCAAGGGGCUUUUCCAACACCUUGUUAUUAGCUGAUAUGCUGCCUAGACAACCUCAUGGGAGCCCAGACUGCGAUCCCCUACUAUGUCAAAGGGAAGGAAGCAAGCAUGACAGACAUGGGAUUACUUCAUUUGAUUCAUGGAAGGCCACAAGCACUUCAAAUUAACCUUUUGCUUCCUUGGGAAAAAAAAAUUU